Tympanuchus pallidicinctus (lesser prairie-chicken) is the source of this 899-nucleotide long non-coding RNA. RefSeq lists it as uncharacterized. The transcript has 2 exons. Lineage: Eukaryota; Metazoa; Chordata; Aves; Galliformes; Phasianidae. The record is from RefSeq and is a predicted model, not a curated record.
CGCCGCCGGAAGGCUCGAGCGGACGGCCGACGGAGAAAAGCGGCGGACGGCUCCGGUGCCCCCCGCCCUACUCCCCCGCCCGUCCGCCGCUCUGCUCUCCGCUUUGCGAGUGCCGCCCGCCACGCCACCUUCCUCACCGGGCCCCCUUAAGAGCCGUGCCUUUUACGGUGGCGCCGGAGGGUCAAAACAAAAAAAAAAAAAAGAGAGAGAGAGAGAGAGAGAGAGAGAGAGAGAGAGAGGGGGCUGCGGGGGGGUGGGGAAAAAAAUCGGCACCGGCGGACCCCGCCGCGCUGCCCCGGGCUGGGCUCCGAGCGGUGGGGACGGCCCCGGUGAGCGCUCGGUCGUCCCGGAGCGGUGCAGGGAGCGAUGCCAGAGAAGCGGCGGACCGCGGCAGGCACGCGCGGGGAAGUUCCCUUUUUCCCUGGGUAUCGAAUAAUCGCAGAAUGUUCCGUUCUUACCUUUGAUGUCCAACUCCGAACUCCCGCGGAUCAAUGGCCACAAAGUUGGCGGAAUUGGGAAUUUGGGACUUCGACACUUCUGGAAAAAAAAUGCCAACGGUUUAGCCAGGAUCUCCCCGUCUGAUUCGUUACUAUUAUUAUAUCUGAUGAUGUGGAUAGAUGGAAGGACUCAAUCCAAGCCCAUUAAUGAGCGAUUUUAUAAACGCCGCCGUCGGAGGAUCUCCAUUCACACGGCGUCAGGGAUCUCUCCCAGCAGCAGAGCCGUGCGGAUCCCGGGACUUCAGCACAGCUCCGAUCAGAGCACGCCGCCUCGUCAAUCCAUUAAUGUUUUAUAGCAUGUAAAUAUUUCAUAAAGUUUUUAGGAAAACUAUCGAUUCUAAAUUAUUAAACUAGUCAGAAGGGCGUUUGAAUAAUGCAUACGAUUAAAUACACUUAAAUAUA